UUACGGCCAUAUCACGUUGAAAUAUCGGUUCCCGUACGAUCACCGAAGUUAAGCAACGUCGAGCCUGGUCAAUACCUAGAUUGGUGAUCGAUUUGGAAUACCAGAUGCAGUAU
Acanthosepion pharaonis is the source of this 113-nucleotide non-coding RNA. The record is from the annotation of a GenBank genome assembly. NCBI's taxonomy places the organism in Eukaryota, Metazoa, Mollusca, Cephalopoda, Sepiida, Sepiidae.